This is a long non-coding RNA of Clupea harengus (Atlantic herring), 1282 nucleotides long. The record is from Ensembl. Lineage: Eukaryota; Metazoa; Chordata; Actinopteri; Clupeiformes; Clupeidae.
CACACACACACACUCUUCUUACUCCUUUAACUCUCACACACACACACACUCUUCUUACUCCUUUAACUCUCACACUCACACACACUCUUCUUACUCCUUUAACUCUCACACACACACUCUUCUUACUCCUUUAACUCUCACACACACACUCUUCUUACUCCUUUAACUCUCACACACACACACUCUUCUUACUCCUUUAACUCUCACACACACACACACACUCUUCUUACUCCUUUAACUCUCACACACACACUCUUCUUACUCCUUUAACUCUCACACACACACUCUUCUUACUCCUUUAACUCUCACACACACACUCUUCUUACUCCUUUAACUCUCACACACACACUCUUCUUACUCCUUUAACUCUCACUCACACACACUCUUCUUACUCCUUUAACUCUCACACACACACUCUUCUUACUCCUUUAACUCUCACACACACACACACUCUUCUUACUCCUUUAACUCUCACACACACACACACUCUUCUUACUCCUUUAACUCUCACACACACACACACUCUUCUUACUCCUUUAACUCUCACACACACACACACUCUUCUUACUCCUUUAACUCUCACACUCACACACACUCUUCUUACUCCUUUAACUCUCACACACACACUCUUCUUACUCCUUUAACUCUCACACACACACUCUUCUUACUCCUUUAACUCUCACACACACACACUCUUCUUACUCCUUUAACUCUCACACACACACACACACACUCUUCUUACUCCUUUAACUCUCACACACACACACACACUCUUCUUACUCCUUUAACUCUCACACACACACUCUUCUUACUCCUUUAACUCUCACUCACACCCUCCAGCAAAAAAGGCUCAGUUGGACGACCUGGCUCUGAGGUCACCGUCUAGAUUCCUCGCGGUUGAUUGGCUGGCAUGGCCAGUGAGUGGUUUCCAUGGCGACAUCUGGUGGUAUCCAUGGCGACAUCUGGUGGUAUCCAUGGUGACAUCAGGUGGUAUCCAUGGCGACAUCUGGUGGUAUCCAUGGCGACAUCAGGUGGUAUCCAUGGUGACAUCCUCCGGUGUCUCGACUCCACAGAAGUCCAUGAUCACAUUAUCAGACGUCUCUUCCCACGGGGUUACAGCCAAUCAGAAGGCAUUAUCAGACGUCUCUUCCCACAGGGUUACAGCCAAUCAGAAGGCAUUAUCAGACGUCUCUUCCCACGGGGUUACAGCCAAUCAGAAGGCAUUAUCAGACGUCUCCUCCCACGGGGUUACAGCCAAUCAGAAGGCAUUAUCAGACGUCUC